This is a long non-coding RNA of Bubalus bubalis (water buffalo), 534 nucleotides long. RefSeq lists it as uncharacterized. The transcript has 3 exons. NCBI's taxonomy places the organism in Eukaryota, Metazoa, Chordata, Mammalia, Artiodactyla, Bovidae. The record is from RefSeq and is a predicted model, not a curated record.
AGGCAAAACCUUGCCCUGAGCAGAGCACUCCAGCUGCUACCAUAAUGAAGGGAGCACUGCUUGUGCUGGCCUUGAUGGUGACCAGAGAGCUGACCUUCAAGACACAUGAGGUGGAAGCCUGCCCUGUGUUUUAUGAAACCCUUUUUGCUGUGAGCCUUGGACUCCCAAGUAAAGCAUUGAAUGAAACCUUGGAUUCAAUCGAAGCUAAUGAAGCUGAAAAAGCAGCCUUUGGGAAAAUCCGGGAUUGCUUCUUGAAGCAGAACCUGAAGACAGGUUUGAUCAUCUGAAAUAUAAGGUGUCCAUCAUUUUCAGUAAUGAUUGCAUCAGCUAUAAAUUGUCCUCAGUGGUGAAUGCUGUUAGAGGAUUGGCUUCCAGUCUGCUCUCUUUGGUGUGAGAAGCUUUGCUAGUUGUGCUGGGUCUGCACUUGAUCUUCCUGCCCUGUUCUCCUUCUGUUCCUGAAGCUGGAAUCCAGACACCUUCCCCACCUGAUGUGGCCUCUAUUAGGCUGAAUCUAAUAAAAACACUGCAACAUUG